Molecule: ribosomal RNA, 490 nt
Filed under: uncultured bacterium
Lineage: Bacteria
Description: partial 16S ribosomal RNA
Rfam family: Bacterial small subunit ribosomal RNA
Source: RNAcentral
AUUGAACGCUGGCGGCAGGCCUAACACAUGCAAGUCGAACGGUAACAGGAAACAGCUUGCUGUUUCGCUGACGAGUGGCGGACGGGUGAGUAAUGUCUGGGAAACUGCCUGAUGGAGGGGGAUAACUACUGGAAACGGUAGCUAAUACCGCAUAACGUCGCAAGACCAAAGAGGGGGACCCUCGGGCCUCUUGCCAUCGGAUGUGCCCAGAUGGGAUUAGCUUGUUGGUGGGGUAACGGCUCACCAAGGCGACGAUCCCUAGCUGGUCUGAGAGCAUGACCAGCCACACUGGAACUGAGACACGGUCCAGACUCCUACGGGAGGCAGCAGUGGGGAAUAUUGCACAAUGGGCGCAAGCCUGAUGCAGCCAUGCCGCGUGUAUGAAGAAGGCCUUCGGGUUGUAAAGUACUUUCAGCGGGGAGGAAGGGAGUAAAGUUAAUACCUUUGCUCAUUGACGUUACCCGCAGAAGAAGCACCGGCUAACUCCGUG